GACGAACGCUGGCGGCGUGCUUAACACAUGCAAGUCGAACGGAAAGGCCCUGCUUUUGUGGGGUGCUCGAGUGGCGAACGGGUGAGUAACACGUGAGUAACCUGCCCUUGACUUUGGGAUAACUUCAGGAAACUGGGGCUAAUACCGGAUAGGAGCUCCUGCUGCAUGGUGGGGGUUGGAAAGUUUCGGCGGUUGUGGAUGGACUCGCGGCUUAUCAGCUUGUUGGUGGGGUAGUGGCUUACCAAGGCUUUGACGGGUAGCCGGCCUGAGAGGGUGACCGGCCACAUUGGGACUGAGAGACGGACCAGACUCCAACGGGAGGCAGAAGUGGGGAAUAUUGCACAGCGGGCGGAAGCGUGAUGCAGCAACGCUGCGUGCGGGAUGACGGCCUUCGGGUUGUAAACCGCUUUCGAAUGUGACGAAGCGUGAGUGACGGUAAUGGGUAAAGAAGCACCGGCUAACUACGUG
Molecule: ribosomal RNA, 468 nt
Filed under: uncultured bacterium
Lineage: Bacteria
Description: partial 16S ribosomal RNA
Rfam family: Bacterial small subunit ribosomal RNA
Source: RNAcentral